This 511-nucleotide long non-coding RNA is filed under the name Zea mays. Its description in RNAcentral is "long non-coding RNA (ZMAY_LNC000902)". The record is from RNAcentral. Lineage: Eukaryota; Viridiplantae; Streptophyta; Magnoliopsida; Poales; Poaceae.
CAUUUCUCAUGAGAAUGUCACACCAGUCACUUAUGUUGCGACCCACAAGACUCAUCCACCAUCCAAUCAAGGUUGUGUGAUCCUCAAGGUUGUGUGAUCCUAACCCCUUUCUAUGUCCUUAAACCAACAACGACAUUCUGCUGCAUCCAUCAGCAAAAUUAUCCCAUCUAAAGAAAGGUUGUGUGAUCCUCAAGGUUGUUUCCAGUUAUUCAGACUGUGAACUAGAGGCAUCAAGAGGUUUUUUCAUUUGCUUGUGGUUCAUCGUACCUCCCGUUUUGUGCAUGUUGUACCACAGGUUGGCGAAUCCUGUACUUACCAAAUUGUUCUAAAAUUUACCAGUUACCUCACCUUAUUCCUUUUUAGGACAGGUAUCUAGCAGGUCACUUAAGAAGGCCAUUGGAUUCAAAACUCAUGUACGCUACUGUGACACAUUGAUGGUCCUGAAGUUGUGGAUAAUGUCAAAGGUUCCCUUUAGAUCAAGGUAACUUCUAGGUCCCUUUGUCUAGAUUAU